GGCCAGCAUCGGUUCGGAUGGCAAGAUAAUGGCUUGGGAAUGUGGCACUCUUCGGAGUGUGUUAUAGCCCUUGUUGAUGUUGCCNAUCUGGACCGAGGACUGCGCUUUUGCCUAGGAUGCUGGCGUAAU
Molecule: ribosomal RNA, 129 nt
Filed under: Petasospora fabianii
Lineage: Eukaryota; Fungi; Ascomycota; Saccharomycetes; Phaffomycetales; Wickerhamomycetaceae
Description: Cyberlindnera fabianii partial 26S ribosomal RNA
Source: RNAcentral